GAUGAACGCUAGCGACAGGCUUAACACAUGCAAGUCGAGGGGCAGCGGGUAGAUGAGCUUGCUCAUUUAUGCCGGCGACCGGCGCACGGGUGAGUAACACGUAUGCAACCUGCCCGUCUCAGGGGGAUAAUCGUCGGAAACGGCGUCUAAUACCCCGUAUGAAGCUGGACGGCAUCGUCUGGUUUUGAAAGAAUAUCGGAGACGGAUGGGCAUGCGGCGCAUUAGCUAGUUGGCGGGGUAACGGCCCACCAAGGCGACGAUGCGUAGGGGUUCUGAGAGGAAGGUCCCCCACACUGGUACUGAGACACGGACCAG
Molecule: ribosomal RNA, 315 nt
Filed under: uncultured bacterium
Lineage: Bacteria
Description: bacterial SSU rRNA
Rfam family: Bacterial small subunit ribosomal RNA
Source: RNAcentral